This 222-nucleotide long non-coding RNA is filed under the name Elaeis guineensis (African oil palm). RNAcentral's name for it is "long non-coding RNA (EGUI_LNC072663)". Lineage: Eukaryota; Viridiplantae; Streptophyta; Magnoliopsida; Arecales; Arecaceae. The record is from RNAcentral.
GCCUGCUUUGAUACAUUAUAAGAAUAGGUGCCGAAAUGUAAGUGAAGGGAAAUAUGGGAAAACAAGGACCUGAAGUAAAAAUUUGAAGGCCAGCCAGCUGGUACCAAGAUCUACCUUGGUUGUGCAACUUUCGUGCAUGUAUCAUGGUGGCAAGAAAUAAACAUAGAAAUGAUUUCCAGAUAAAGAGGUAAGAUGCAGUCUAUGAUAAAGAGGACAAACUAU